CGAGUGAAGCGGCAACAGCUCAAAUUUGAAAUCUGGCGCAAGCCCGAGUUGUAAUUUGUAGAGGAUGCUUCUGGGCAGCGGCCGGUCUAAGUUCCUUGGAACAGGACGUCACAGAGGGUGAGAAUCCCGUAUGUGAUCGGCGCGCACCCUCCACGUAGCUCCUUCGACGAGUCGAGUUGUUUGGGAAUGCAGCUCUAAAUGGGAGGUAAAUUUCUUCUAAAGCUAAAUACCGGCCAGAGACCGAUAGCGCACAAGUAGAGUGAUCGAAAGAUGAAAAGCACUUUGGAAAGAGAGUUAAAAAGCACGUGAAAUUGUUGAAAGGGAAGCGCCCGCAACCAGACUUCGCGGCGGUGUUCCGCCGGUCUUUUGACCGGUCUACUCGCCGCCGUGAGGCCAACAUCGUCUGGGGCCGCCGGAUAAGACCGGAGGAAUGUAGCUCCCCCUCGGGGGAGUGUUAUAGCCUUCGGUGAUGCGGCGAGCCCCGGGCGAGGUCCGCGCUUCGGCAGGAUGUGGC
This 514-nucleotide ribosomal RNA is filed under the name Mycosphaerella sp. IMUFRJ 51943. Its description in RNAcentral is "eukaryotic LSU rRNA". It matches the Rfam family "Eukaryotic large subunit ribosomal RNA", at positions 90 to 629 of the family's 3401-position model. Lineage: Eukaryota; Fungi; Ascomycota; Dothideomycetes; Mycosphaerellales; Mycosphaerellaceae. The record is from RNAcentral.